ACCAGCUGUACCAGAAGACUGUGUGAUCACGCUCUCCGCAGCCGAUGUGAGUAAGACCUUUAGACAGGUCAACAUUCAUAAGGCCGCAGGGCCAGACGGAUUACCAGGACGUGUACUGCGAGCAUGCGCUGACCAACUUGCGGGUGUCUUCACUGACAUUUUCAAACUCUCCCUGUCCGAGUCUGUAAUGCCAACAUGUUUUAAGCAGACCACCAUAGUGCCUGUGCCCAAUAACACUACGAUAACCUACCUAAAUGACUACCGACCCGUAGCACUCACGUCUGUAGCCAUGAAGUGCUUUGAAAGGCUGGUUAUGGCUCACAUCAACUCCAAUUUGCAUACCGCCCCAACAGAUCCACAGAUGAUGCAGUCACAAUUGCACUCCACACCGCCCUUUCCCACCUGGACAAAAGGAACACCUAUGGGAAAAUGCUAUUCAUUGACAACAGCUCAGCUCAGCAAAGCCAUAGUGCCCUCAAAGCUCAUCAAUAAGCUAAGGACCCUGGGACUAAACACCUCCCUCUGCAUCUGGAUCCUGGACUUCUUGAUGGGCCGCCCCCAGGUGGUAAGGGUAGGUAACAACACAUCAGCCACGCUGAUCCUCACACAUGGGGCCCCUCAGUGGUGCGUGCUCAGCCCCCUCCUGUACUCCCUGUUCACUCAUGACUGCAUGGCCAGGCAUGACUCCAACACCGUCAUUAAAUUUGCUGAUGACACAACAGUGGUUGGCCUGAUCACUGACAACAAUGAGACAGCCUAUUGGGAGGAGGUCGGAGACCUGGCUGUGUGGUGCCAAAACAACAACCUCUACCUCAAUGUGAUCAAGACAAAGGAGAUGAUUGUGGAAAAAGAGGACCGAGCACGCCCCCAUUCUCUUCGACGGGGCUGCAGUGGAGCAGGUUGAGAGCUUCAAGUUCCUUGGUGUCCACAUCACCAACAAACUAACAUGGUCCUGGCAUGGCCCAAACCUUUUCCCCCUCAGGAGACUGAAAAGAUUUGGCAUGAGUCCUCAGAUCCUCAAAAAGUUGUACAGCUG
Molecule: long non-coding RNA, 1036 nt
Filed under: Salmo trutta (river trout)
Lineage: Eukaryota; Metazoa; Chordata; Actinopteri; Salmoniformes; Salmonidae
Description: lncRNA (ENSSTUG00000028559.1)
Source: RNAcentral